GGAUGAACGCUGACAGAAUGCUUAACACAUGCAAGUCAACUUGAAUUUGGGUUUUUCACUUAGGUUUGGGUGGCGGACGGGUGAGUAACGCGUAAAGAACUUGCCUCACAGCUAGGGACAACAUUUGGAAACGAAUGCUAAUACCUAAUAUUAUGAUAAUAGGGCAUCCUAUAAUUAUGAAAGCUAUAAGCGCUGUGAGAGAGCUUUGCGUCCCAUUAGCUAGUUGGAGAGGUAACGGCUCACCAAGGCGAUGAUGGGUAGCCGGCCUGAGAGGGUGAUCGGCCACAAGGGGACUGAGACACGGCCCUUACUCCUACGGGAGGCAGCAGUGGGGAAUAUUGGACAAUGGACCGAGAGUCUGAUCCAGCAAUUCUGUGUGCACGAUGAAGUUUUUCGGAAUGUAAAGUGCUUUCAGUUGGGAAGAAACAAAUGACGGUACCAACAGAAGAAGUGACGGCUAAAUACGUG
This 468-nucleotide ribosomal RNA is filed under the name uncultured bacterium. RNAcentral describes it as "partial 16S ribosomal RNA". It matches the Rfam family "Bacterial small subunit ribosomal RNA", at positions 27 to 507 of the family's 1533-position model. The record is from RNAcentral.